GGUUGAUCCUGCCAGCAAUCAUAUGCUUGUCUCAAAGAUUAAGCCAUGCAUGUCUAAGUAUAAGCGAUUAUACGGCGAAACUGCGAACGGCUCAUUAUAUCAGUUAUAAUCUACUCGAUCGAUUCUGUUACUUGGAUAACUGUAGGAAUUCUAGAGCUAAUACAUGCGAAAGGUUCGACGCCGGGGCGACCCGGCGGCGAACGCGUUUAUUGGAACGGAAACCAGGAGGGGCGUACGCCUUGCGGCCGAUUCCGACCGUAAGGGCCCCGUCUACGGACGAUUCACGGUAAGCG
RNAcentral lists this ribosomal RNA (293 nucleotides) under uncultured eukaryote. RNAcentral's name for it is "partial 18S ribosomal RNA". It matches the Rfam family "Eukaryotic small subunit ribosomal RNA", at positions 6 to 262 of the family's 1831-position model. The record is from RNAcentral.